CCUACGGGAGGCAGCAGUAGGGAAUCUUCCACAAUGGCCGAAAGUCUGAUGGAGCAACGCCGCGUGAGUGAAGAAGGGUUUCGGCUUGGCAAGCUCUGUUGGUAGUGGGAAAGAUAGAGGUAGUCACUGGCCUUUAUUUGACGGUAAUUAAUUAGCAAGUCACGGCUAACUACGGGCCAGCAGCCGCGGUCAUACGUAGGUGGCAAGAGUUGGCCGGAUUUAUUGGGCGUAAAGCGAGUGCGGGCGGUUCAAUAAGGCUGAUGUGAAAGCCUUCGGGCCAACCGGAGAAGUGCAUCAGAAACUGGUGAACUUGAGUGCAGAAGAGGAGAGUGGAACGCGAUGUGUAGCGGUGGAAUGCAUAGAUAUAGGGAAGAACACCAGUGGCGAAGGCAGCUCUCCGUGCUGCAACUGACGCUGAGGCUCGAAAGCAUGGGGAGCGAACAGGAUUAGAUACCCGGGUAGUC
Molecule: ribosomal RNA, 464 nt
Filed under: uncultured bacterium
Lineage: Bacteria
Description: partial 16S ribosomal RNA
Rfam family: Bacterial small subunit ribosomal RNA
Source: RNAcentral